Zea mays is the source of this 391-nucleotide RNA transcript. It is a transcript of the gene named proteasome subunit alpha pseudogene, with no coding region annotated. The record is from RefSeq and is marked validated. The transcript has 5 exons. NCBI's taxonomy places the organism in Eukaryota, Viridiplantae, Streptophyta, Magnoliopsida, Poales, Poaceae.
GUUUUACUUGUGAUCCUUAUUUGUUUCAGUGGUGUAAGACCAUUUGGAGUAUCGCUGUUGAUUGCUGGGUAUGAUGACAAUGGCCCACAGUUGUAUCAGGUUGAUCCCUCAGGAUCAUACUUCUCCUGGAAGGCAUCAGCCAUGGGAAAAAAUGUGUCAAAUGCAAAGACAUUUCUUGGAAAGAGAUACACAGAGGAUAUAGAGCUUGAUGAUGCCAUCCACACUGCAAUUUUGACUUUGAAAGAAGGAUAUGAGGGGCAAAUUUCCUCCAACAACAUUGAAAUCGGAAUUAUUCGAGCUGACCGUGAGUUCAAAGUUCUAAGCCCAUCAGAGAUCAAGGAUUUCUUGGAAGAGGUGGAGUAAGUUGUCUGUUGAUGAUUUACUGUUUCAA